UCUAAGAGUGUAAUAUUCUCUU
RNAcentral lists this small nuclear RNA (22 nucleotides) under Arabidopsis thaliana (thale cress). RNAcentral describes it as "snRNA_04264". The record is from RNAcentral. Lineage: Eukaryota; Viridiplantae; Streptophyta; Magnoliopsida; Brassicales; Brassicaceae.